Molecule: long non-coding RNA, 1196 nt
Organism: Daphnia pulicaria
Lineage: Eukaryota; Metazoa; Arthropoda; Branchiopoda; Diplostraca; Daphniidae
Exons: 3
Source: RefSeq, a predicted model, not a curated record
AGUAUGAGCUGCAGCCAGUUGGUGAAAGGUGUGAACAAGACAGCUGUUGCAUUUAGUUUGUGGUGCUGCUAUUAUUAUUCUUGAAUGUGUUGGUUAUUCUGAUUCUUGUCCAGCACUGGGUCAAGAUCAAUCCCGGUUCCAUUUCUAAAACGGACACAGAAUUUUAUUCCUGCACUUGAACAGCAUUCUCCAUUGAAUUGGACUCGGACUUCUUCCGGGAAAAAAGAGGAUUCUGAAUCUGUUUCCGGUGACGAAAUCGAUUCCAGCAAAGCUUCGGAAUCCUCUCUCAAUUCAGGAGCCGCUUCCAGCACUAAUUUCCCCUCGGAUAUCGACUCCAUUUCCACAACAGGUACAUAUUUGACCAAUAUCUUUAAGCAUCCCACACAGAAACCAGAAACAAUUCACAAAAAAGCAACAACGACUGCUAUGUAGAACUCGACUAAUAAGUUUCUAAAGAGGAAUUUCAAACGAUCGUUAAAGUUGAGAAAGAAGAAAAUAACGGCUCGAUACAAUCAAAUCAAAGAAGGACAAAACCAGAGAAGAGACGCCGCAAAUGUUACUUGUCGUACAAGUCCUGUCGUUGGUGGCGCGUUUUGAUGUCAGGUGUCGUUAAAUUACAUUCCGACUUGCAACUACACCGACUUUGCAACCAGAUUCUUUAUUGCCAUUUGCAAUGGAAUGAUCAGUUUAGGUUCGCCGUUCGCGGAUCUUGGAUAUUCCCAGUUUUUACAACAAGUUCCUGAAUAUUGUUGUACUAACCACAACAUCAGCUACCUUUACCUACCUACUAACAUCAGGAUGAUUGGAUGAAGAAUGUAAAAAACUUGGGCAUUUACUAGGAUCCCGGAUCCGUGACCGUUCAGCGUUCAGUCGUUCGUUUAUGCUAAGAAAUCUGUCGCUUGUCACUAGGUGUGUGAAAUUGUGUCCAGCAGGUGAUGGAGAGUCUGUUCUUCAGUGAGUGACGACUGACGAAAUCAAUCGCCGCCAUUUGCCUUUGACGCAAUGGAUGGAAACGUGCUGCAGCUGCUGCAUCAUAAUGAUGUUUUUCGCUUUUACAUUUUAGAAGUGAUGAGGUAUUUGGUAUUUCCACGCCAUUCGACUAAGCUUAAUCGAAAGUGAACAAUUCUAUAGCAUAUAAGUGAAUCGUGAAAGUUUUGACUUUUCGAAAGAUCCAUUUUUUAAUCCAUUACUUUCAU